UAAAAACUAAAUAUUUUUCUGAUACGAAUAUUGUAUGUAUCUAUGUAUCCUAGAUGGUAUCCUUGGUUACGUAUAAUUAUGGAUAUUCAAAAUUGUAAAAUUCAGGUUCAGCGUUGAAAAUCUUGCCACGAUCUCAAAGGGUAAAUAAAAUAAAUACGUCAAAAAAUACGUCAGUAACCGUGUACCCGCAAAAAUGAGAUUUAUUGGCAAUAUUUUCAGAACUGUUCUGAAAAAGGCAACAGCCCUUUAUUUGUUGAGCAUUAUGUCUGCUGAUAUUUUUGAAGAGACCUUUCAAAUGUGCUGCCAGGAAACAUUGGAAAUGUUCAACAUCGGAAAGCUUUUCAAAGACUUAAAUUGUUUCAAAAAAUCUGAAGAAGAGAAUGAUAAUAAGAAUGAUUCAAAUGUUGAAGAUGAUUUGUCACUGAAAGAUGAAAAUCUUGAAACUGAAGUACUAAUUACUAAUGUAACUAAAAUUAAUUAAUUUGUUUACUAAUAAAUUCGUAUGUAAUUUCA
Aethina tumida (small hive beetle) is the source of this 513-nucleotide long non-coding RNA. RefSeq lists it as uncharacterized. NCBI's taxonomy places the organism in Eukaryota, Metazoa, Arthropoda, Insecta, Coleoptera, Nitidulidae. The transcript is spliced from 2 exons. The record is from RefSeq and is a predicted model, not a curated record.